GAUUCAGGCUAUGAGAGAAAGGGUGAAAGAGUGACUUGAUCUGAGUCUCAGAGUACCAGUGCAACAAGGAAACACAAGCCGUUCAGGGUAGCAAAGGUGCAAUAAGACAGAAUCCAGAUCCCUGAAAUGCCAGGAUUUAGUUACAUCUUCCCAGCUACUACUAACUAUAGCUACCAAUAAAGUUUAAAGGUAUGACAUAUUUUGACUCUACAGAUGCUCUAAUCUUUGUUUUACUUAACUUUGUGCUGAGCAGGGCCACACAAAUUAGCUGUAACAGUACAGUUAUCUACUGGUACCAGAUCUGUACUGCACUACUCAAAUUGCUGCAUCUCAUGGAACUGACUGGCAUAGAUUGAGUCCACAAAUUAGAAAUCAGGCUUAACCCUCCUUUUAUGAAGAAAACCAGCCAAACUUCCUAUUUCCUUGCUUAAACAUCAGCGGUCAGUUGGGAAACAUGAGGGACAGGGUGCCUCCAUUGGAGCUAAUAGCGUUAACCUGUUCACCCUCCCCAUUGCACAUUUCACCCAGUAGUUUCCGAUGGCUUAUUUAUAUCAGAUAGGGACUCUUCAUCACCAUGUGACAUACAUAGUUUUAAAAAUUAGGAGUUACUUAUCACUUAAGCUGCCACGAUAAAUCAGUUGCCAGAUUGAGAAUGAUGACCAAGUAUGAUGAGAACCAUCUCACUCUGCAGAGAAGCAGGACAACCCUACAUUUUGAGGUGCAGAGAUAUAGCCACCAGAUGCUGUAUCACAAUGAUACCUGCAGAGAACAGGUAACUAUAGGUUUACAUCUACAAGUAAAGGACACCCUUCUAAUCAUCAGAGAGCUUCUAGAAAUGGUGCUAUAUGGGAUCAAGCCCGUUCAGUUUCAAGAAAGUGUGAGGAACCUCCUGGAUUCAGUCUCUUUGAGUGAGCUCUGUUCCUCAGAAGGAUUCACUCUUUUGUUCCUCAAAAUGAUAUUAUGAGCUGAGGAGGGUGAUGAAGUGCUGAGACAAUAAACAAACACUCCCAGAGAGAGAAGCACAUGUCUGUUUAGGAAAACAACAUGUUUUCAAAACAACUCUCCCCUGACUUAAGUAGGAAGUACAAGGGUUCCAUGUCUCUUCCGUUUCUGAAAGCUGUGUUAUUAACAGCCUCAAUAUUUGCAUUGAAUCACAGUCCAUUAAGAUCAUUUCAGUCCACCAAGGACUGAAAGCAUGCACAUCUAAAUAUUUAUAAGAGAGAUACUCCCUCCAAGUUCAUUUUCCAGCAGCCUCUUCCAGCGCUGGCUCUCCAAAUGGCCAACUCUUCCAGCAGAACUGUUUCAUGCACAUCCAUCUGCUCGCUUUGUUCAGAUAAACACACAUCUCUCCUUCUAGCCAUGUGGUACUGACUUGUCUCUGCAGUGUGCAUGGCUACUGGAGAUGCCCUGCAGAAUCUUUACUGUGAGUCAUGUAGAGAACCCAGCUGGGUAUCUGGGAGCCCAUUUGGAUUUACAAGUUAACCGGGUGUGGGAAACUUUUCUUUUAAACCAAUCCAUGAAGCAAGUCCAGUAUGGAAUUAGUGAGUUAAUACACAUGAACAGGCUGCCUAUCAUUUUUCACAGAAUCCUUUCUAUGACUGUGACUGGAAACACCAAGUGAUAAAUGAACAGAGAGACUGAAAUCCACCCCCCUCAGUUUCUCUGAAAAGCAAUUUCACAGAACGUGAAAGGCUGAAUCAGAUUGGCAGCAUGCAGAAAGCUACUGCCACUGCUGUACAUGCUACUGGUCAGCAGAUAAACAAAGCAAUCCCGUUUCCAGGGCUGUGGAGCCAGCAGCAAAUUUACACAGCCAUCUUUUUAAUAGCUUUGAAAAAUAAAGGAAAACAAGGCACAGUCAUUUCAAGCUCCAUUAGAAACAGAGUGAGAAAAAUCAAUGUUUGACAAAUAGGAAGGGACAAA
Molecule: long non-coding RNA, 1920 nt
Organism: Neopsephotus bourkii (Bourke's parrot)
Lineage: Eukaryota; Metazoa; Chordata; Aves; Psittaciformes; Psittacidae
Exons: 2
Source: RefSeq, a predicted model, not a curated record